This 434-nucleotide ribosomal RNA is filed under the name uncultured bacterium. Its description in RNAcentral is "bacterial SSU rRNA". It matches the Rfam family "Bacterial small subunit ribosomal RNA", at positions 355 to 804 of the family's 1533-position model. The record is from RNAcentral.
UCGGGAAUUUUGGGCAAUGGGGGAAACCCUGACCCAGCAACGCCGCGUGAAGGAUGAAGUAUUUCGGUAUGUAAACUUCGAAAGAAUAGGAAGAAUAAAUGACGGUACUAUUUAUAAGGUCCGGCUAACUACGUGCCAGCAGCCGCGGUAAUACGUAGGGACCAAGCGUUGUUCGGAUUUACUGGGCGUAAAGGGCGCGUAGGCGGCAAUUCAAGUCAUCUGUGAAAUCUCCGGGCUUAACUCGGAACGGUCAGAUGAUACUGCUUUGCUAGAGUGCAGAAGGGGCAAUCGGAAUUCUUGGUGUAGCGGUGAAAUGCGUAGAUAUCAAGAGGAACACCUGAGGUGAAGACGGGUUGCUGGGCUGAUACUGACGCUGAGGCGCGAAAGCUAGGGUAGCAAACAGGAUUAGAUACCCACGUAGUCCCUGAGCGGGC